UUCAAUUAUUUUACAUUUAGGGUUUUCAUUUUUAUUUUAUGAUUUUCAUUCAACUCGACGCUAGCUACUACAUAUAGCAAUGAAAGAACCAUUAAUUACACAAUAUCGUCAUGGACAUGUAUAGAAAGAAGUGACCUCUCUUUCUUCGUGCUUGUUCGAACAACAAGUUUUCGUAUAUCUAUUUGAGUUACUACGUAUAGUACACAAUCAUGCAUAUAUACAAUAUAACAUCUCCUACAAUCCCUAACAUCAUCUACCAAAAUCGCAUUGCAACUCCCCAUGGUAUUCUCCGUCUUCAGGUAUGGCAUCUCUUACAAUCCCUAACAUCAUCAAUGCUCCCAAGCGCAAUAUAUAGCUUGGAAUUCAGCAUGUACAUCAGGACCACACAAGUUUGAGAGGCAUCCAUGUUGACCUAUAAAACCCAAGAAAGUUAUCGUAGCACAUACAUCCAGUACCACACAAUCCGACAACUUAUAUCACUGCAUACAGCCCUAACACCUAGGUUUGGAAAUGCAUGCAUUGCCUUGGAAGAUCACGCGUGGGUUUAUAAUUGUAAAGACCCUCACUACUAGCCUCGUUUAUCGUGGUGGCCAAUGCCCUGGCUCAGCUAUAGAGAUAGGUACGGAACCAUGUGUGUCAUGACUCAUGAUAAUGUACCUAUAUUGUCGUGGAAACAUCACGACAGAUGUCCUAGUGUGAGAACUUAGUCGUGAGGCCAACGCAUCUAUGUAGUAGCUUGAAGGGGUUGGUCGGAAUCGAGAGACACAAGUUUUUACCCUGGUUCGGCCCCUCACGGUGGAGGUAAAAGCCUACAUCCUGCUUCAUUGAUAUUAAUGAUGAUGAUCAUGAUUACAAGGGUGCUCAUCUCGAGAGCUAUUGACUUCUCUAUCUAAACCUAACUUGUUUAACUUAUGGAACCUGUCCCUCUUGGGGAGCCCUGCCCCUCCUUAUAUAUGUUGAAGGGGCGGCUUACAUGACUAGUCCUAUUAGGAUUAGGAUUACUCUAUUACAAGUGGAGUCCUAGUCUUGCUUCCUUUGUAGGAGAAUAUUCCUUACGCCUUUUCUCUUAAGCCGACCCUCAAUAAAAUGAACCGGCCUACCAUAAACCACCUUCUGGGCCACCAGGUCUUACCGUUCCUCUGACCCGCUUGCCGGGUCACCCAUGAGUCGCCAGGCUCGGGCAGGUCACUUAGUGAGUCGCCAAGUCCGGUCGGGUUAUACUUCUGGCCGGGUUACACCGCGGUGUAUAUCCCCGACAUUAGCCCCCCCAGUUUAAUUUGGAUUCAUCCAUGUUAAACUGACCUACAACAUAAACACAAGAACAAAUUUGUCGGUUGUGCUCCGGUUUAAAUAUUCUUAUAAACCGACACUUGAUCAUCCUUAAGUCCUUGUCAUUUCUUCCUUCUGAAAAUUUCGAGUCAAUAGACCAGCUUCAUAAACCGAAAGCCCCCAAGGGUCGGCUCAUUACACUGUGAUGAGUCGGGUCUUCAAUAAGGUGAGCAAAAAAUGACUUUACAUUAGCCCCCAAGUGUCAUGGUGCAUGCUUGCAGCUACAUGAGACUUUCAUAUUUGAUGUAACCUCAACUUGAAUAAUGUAGCCCCCAAGUGCCAGGUCGUAAGCCUGCAGCGACUCGGGACUAUUCCUUCAAUUGUAGAAUAAAUCAUAUCCAUUGAUAAUAUAAUAGCCAUUACGCUAAAGCGACUUUGAAAGCCUUAAUCAUAAUACUGGUUAUUGAUAACCAUAAUAAAAUCCAGCCAUGUUGGCUAUUUGAAGAUUUGAAUAAUACAAUCCAGUGAUUUAUGAGCGCAUGAUUCCAAUGGCGCAAUCCAAAUAUAUACUGGUGACUUAUAAUCCCAAGCUAGUCCGGCUUAAUAAACACAAGAACAAAUUUGUCGGGUAUGUCCAACCCGUUGGAGUUAUGUAGAACUGAGAGGAGAGCGAAACCAUCGGUUAGUGUGAUUACCGAUGGUGCAUACACCCCUUCGGGGAUUUCUUUAGAUGAGAAGUUAGCAUGCACCUUCAAUUUAGACAAUCACCGACAAUCUAAAGCGCCUGUAUGCAUAUUUUGUACCCAUGAUGUUUGUUGCGCCAUAGGCCAUACACCCCUUCACGGAUUAAUUUCUCUUAGAGGUGUUGCAUGACAGGGAAAUGCAAUAUAUAACACAAUAAUUCAUAAUAUUGGCAUUUCAAAUACGUCUCAUAAUUACACAACUGCACAUGACCAAAAGAACAUAUGUUAUAUUUAGCAUAAUCUAAGUUUUACAAACCUAAUGAGUUGCAUGUGAAUUACAUUUACCAUAGCAAUCUAUAUGGAAGUGUCUAAUGCAAAAAGAUGAAACAAAGAAGUAUAGACAAUUUGCAUAAGCUAAAUUCUUCACAAACUUCAGAUCACUACUAGGGAAAACCUUAUACACAGAAUCUUAGCAGCAGCGCGGCAUAAAAACAGGCACUGCUGCUAAGUAGUAGCAGCGCGGCUACGGAAAGCUCGCUACUGGUGCAAACUUAGCAGUAGCGCGUGACGCUUAAACCGCGCUGCUACAAAAAUCCACCGACAGUACAGAACGACAUAAAUUUACCAGUAGCGCGGUGCCAGGGAGCGCGUUGCUGCUAAUGCCAUAGUAGCAGCGCGCUUUUUUGUCACCUCACUGCUACUAAUUUUGAAAGUGUGCACAGGGUUGGCCUGUUUAGCAGUAGCGCGUGACAGGAAAGCGCGUUGUUGCUACGCUCUUAGCAGCAGCGCGCUUUCUCUCCCGCGCUACUGCUAACAUGCAGGACCCACCACCUUUUCCACCUCCCCCUCCCCAUCUCCUCUCCUCCCUUUCCCCUACCUCCCACAUCCUCCCUCUCUCACUCUUCUUCUUCCUCAAUACUUCUCCCCCCAUUACUCUCCCUCUUCUACCUACCUUUCUCUCUCUUCAUUACUCCUAGCUAUAACUACACCACCUCCAUUAAUUCAUCUCCUUUCUCUUUUUCCUCCCACCUCCACUAGUUGAAGUUGUCUCCUCCCAAAUUAGCUAGCUAGGUAGAUGUAGCAUUUAGUUAAGUGACCUAUUUGCCCCCUAAAUAGAUCUUUCUUUGUCAAGAAGAGCUUUGUGCACUUUUGACCUCCCUACAUCAUCAUCUCCACCGUGUGCUCGAUCUCGAGAUAGAGGUGUCAUUAAUAUUUCAUGCUUUUGCAAAAUGGAAAUAUGUUUAUGCAUGUGUGUGUGAUAUUUUUAUGGAAAUUGUGUGUGUGGCAUGAGUUGACGCCAAAUUGUGCAUUUGAGUUGCCUAUGUUUUGCCGAAAUGUCGAUUUAUUUCCGUUUCGGUGAAUUCCGGGCAAACUCUAGAUCUAUAUAUGUCCUACUUUUAUGGAAGGUCAUGCCGAAUUUUUGUAUGACUUUGAUGAAUGCACGCAUUUUUAUAAUCAAUUUUUUUAUUAUUACCGUGCAGAGUUCACGAUGGUCAGUGGAACGAUGGUGGACAGGUGGUUGCGGUCGGCGGUGCAGGACAUGAAGGAAAAUAACCUGACAGAGGUUUUAUGUCCGUGUCGAAAAUGCAAAGGAAUAGUUUGGCUUGACCCCCAUGUCGAUGGUCGUGUCAAAGCGCACCUGCUCAUGACUGGUUUCAUGGAUGGCUAUACUCGAUGGAUAACUGAAGAUGAGGAUGACGAUGUUGAGGAUGCCGACGGGGCAGGCAAUGAUGACACGGGGCAAGACGAAGAGAUGAUCAAUAAUGGCGGCGGGGAAGAGGCUGGACAUGGCGGCGGAGAAGGGGCCGGACAUGGCGGCGGAGAGAACGACAUGGACUCCACGCAGCAGAGUUCGUCCGUACUAAGUUCAAUCGUGCGGGACCCUCAUGUUCAAACAUUGCUUCGCAAGGAGACGAGUACUGAGAGAGCUGCUUCUAGAGAGGAGGCUAAGCUGGAGCAACUGGUGGUAGACUCGAACACUCCAUUGUAUGAUGGUUGCAAUCCUGAGGUGACCCGCUUGAGUUUCACGCCCCAAGUGCUGAAGACGAAGGCUAAAAACAAAUGGACCGACACUAGCCUCGAUGAGCAUCUCAAGUACCUAAAGGAUGUUCUUCCCGAGGGUAAUCUAUGUCCUAGUAGUGUUGAUGAGGCCAAGAAGAUCGUGUGCCCUCUUGAUCUGCCACACGUUAGAUACCAUGCAUGCAUCAACGAUUGCAUAAUUUAUCGGAAGGAGCACGUGGAAAAAACAAGUUGUUCGGUGUGCAAUGCUUCUCGAUACAAGAAGGCCGGGAAGAAAUGUCCCCAGAAAGUGGUAUGGUACUUACCGAUCACUCCCCAUCUCCAGAGGUAUUUUGUAGAUCCCAAGGAAGCAAAGCUAAUGCGGUGGCACGCGAAGAGGAAGAAGCCCGACGAUGGAGAUGAUCCGAAGCUGAGACACGUCAAGGAUGGAAGCCAGUGGAGAGCGUUGAAUAGCUUCUAUCGGUAUUUUGAAUGUGAUGCAAGGAACAUCGUGCUCGGCGCGUGUACCGAUGGCAUGAAUCCGUUUGGCAACCAGAGCACCAACCAUAGCACAUGGCCCGUGUUUGUAUGGAUGUACAACCUCCCCCCUAGUUGUGCAUGAAAUCAAAGUACAUUCACAUGAGCAUGCUUAUUUAAGGGCCGAAACAACCAGGAAAUAAUAUUAAUUUGUAUCUGGGGCUACUUCAGGAGGAGUUAGACACGUUAUGGAAAACACCGGCCAAGACAUGGGACGCCAGCAAAGGCGAGUAUUUCAACAUGAGAGCCGCGCUGAUCACGACAGUGCACGACUAUCUUGGUUACAGAUAUGUGGUAGGCCAGGUGUGCCAUGGAUAUUGCGGAUGCACGCGGUGCAUGGAUGAUACGACGUCUCAGCAGCUAACGUCAAGGAAAGAUGGCGGGUCUGGGAAAAUCGUGUACAUGGGGCAUCGAAGAUGGCUCGAACAGGACGACCCGUGGAGAAACCGUGGAGAUCUAUUCAAUGGUCAUGCUGAGCAUCGAGGACCUCCACGUAAGCGGAGCGGUGCCGAAAUCGAUGAGCUGUUGAAAAACUAGAAGGAGUGCCCCGCGCUGGGAAAGACGAUGAGAAAGGCGCCAGAGCCGCUGCUGAAGGUAUGGAAGACGAGGUCUGUGUUCUGGGACUUGGAGUACUGGCACAAACUCGAUACACCUCAUUGCCCUCAUCAAAUGCAUAUCUGUAAGAAUGUCCUUGAGAGCUUGCUCGCAACACUGAUGAACAUGCCGGAUAAGACCAAGGAUGGGCCGAAGGCAAGAAAAGACUUGUAAGAUUUGGAAAUCAGGGAAGAUCUGCACAUGCCACCACGUCAAAUGUCAGACGAGACAGAGACGGAGACAGAUGCACGGGAGAAGAAGGGCAAGAAAAUAAAGAAUGAGGAUUAUUGCCCCCCUUCUUGCUUCACCUUAAGUCAGGCUGAGAUCAAUCAAUUCUUUAAGUGCCUUACCGGAGUCAAAGUUAGUUCCGGUUACUGUGGCAAGAUAAGUAGAUAUCUAGACACGGACAAGAAAAGGUUCAGCGGGAUGAAGUCUCAUGACUGUCAUGUGAUGAUGACGCAGAUAUUACCUGUUGCCCUUAGAGGGAUAAUGGACAAGCACGUCCGUGACACGCUUAUUGGUCUCUGCAACUUUUCGACGUCAUCUCUCGAAAGUCGAUCAGUGUGAAGCAGCUCCGAAGGCUACAGGAAGAGAUCAUUGUGAUACUGAAUGAGCUUGAGAUGUACUUCCUGCCCGCGUUCUUUGAUGUGAUGGUGCAUCUGUGUGUCCAUAUUGUGGAUGACAUAAUAGACCUGGGGCCGUCAUUCCUGCACAACAUGAUGCCGUUUGAGAGGAUGAAUGGGAUCAUCAAAGGAUUCGUUCGUAACAUGUCCCGUCCGGAUGGAAGCAUCGUCCAGGGCUAUUUGACACAAGGGUGCAUCUCUUUCUGUGAGAAUUUUCUAUAUGGCGCAGACCAACCGCCUGGUGUUAGUGUUGGUUUGCCCGUUAACAAGCACGAUGGGAGGCUCGAAGGAGAAGGUCACUGCAACGGUCGCAGGGAACUGCACGUGGCAUACUCAGAUCGACGCAGCGACUUUGACAGAACAAACUUGGUAGUGCUACAACACCUAGACGAGGUAGAUCCUUUCGUGGCACUGCACAAAGAAAUUAUCGCAAAGAAGUAUCGUGACCGGGGGGUAUGCAGGACGGACGCCAAAGUUACUAGAGAGCACAACUCCACUUUCCUGCAUUGGUUCAAAGAGCAUAUUAUUGCUAAUCCCCCGGAGGAGGGCUCUAAGGACGGAUUGCUCUUAUACGCCUUAGCACAUGGCCCCUCGCCCAACCUCGUAACCUAUCAGGCAUAUGAUAUCAACGGAUACACGUUCUACACGGAGGCCAAAGAUAUGGACAGUGAUGAAUAUCAGAACUCAGGGGUGACGAUGGAAUGCAUGACCGGCAGCGACAACGGCGCAACUGAACAAUUUUAUGGAAGGGUCGAGGAGGUCUGGGAGCUUGACUACUCUGGACUGCACAACAUCACGAUGUUCCGUGUCAGAUGGGCUAAGAAUGUCGAAAGACAAAGCCGGAUUUUUACUACCAUGACUAUACCCGACGCCAAGAGCGCUACCGUGAACGCUAUCGCAAAAAACGAGCCAUGGGUACACGCUAAGCACGUGACACAAUGCUUCUUCAUAACCGACCCAUGCAAUCCCAGUCGUGUUGUUGUGAGGAAAGGCAAAAGAAACAUCAUUGGAAUGGAUGGAGUCGCCAACGAGGAAGACUAUGAUCAGUAUGGCAACCCAAUGAGCGAAGAUGACGAUGAUGAUAAAGUAUACGUCAAAAGAAGAAUCAAUACUACAUUACCAAAGAAAAAUCGUACUCCAUGGAAAAGGCAAAGUCACAAUGAGGGGCUCAAUUAUUCUUCGACGAACAAGAAGGGAAAGAAGCUGACUCAAAAACGAAAACGUCAGCGUUGAGGAAUCGGUCAAAUGAUGUAAUAUAUAUAUAUAUAUAUAUAUGUUCCUAUUUUGUAUACACACUUAAUUAGCCAUUAUUAUGCAUGGGUCCAAUGAUGUAAUAUAUAUAUGUUCCUAUUUUGUAUACACACUUAGCCAUUAUUAUGCAAGGGUCCAAUGAUGUAAUAUAUAUGUUCCUAUUAUGCUGAGGAAAAGAAAAAAAGGGAAAUUGGUUAUAGCAGUAGCGCUUUAGUGAAAAAGAGCUACAACUAGUCAAGGUAGCAGUAGCGGUUUCCGUAGAAAAUCGCUACAGCUAGUCAAGGUAGCAGUAGCGGUUUCUGCAGAAAACCGCUACAGCUAGUCAAGGUAGUAGUAGCGCGUUUCGUGUAAACGCGCUACUGCUACGUCCACUUAACCCAAAAUUCUCCCUCUCCCUGCUUCAUCCCGCCUCUUUUCCCCCAAAUCCCCACUCUCUCUUCCCUGGCCCCGUCGCACCGCCGCGCCCGCCCCCGACCUCGGCGUGCUCGCCCCCGACCCCGGCGCGCUCGCCCCCGACCCUGCCGCCCCCGAUCCCGCCACGCUCGACCCCGAUGCACUCGCCCCCGACCCCGCCGCCCCCGACCCAGGCGCGCUCGCCCCCGGCGCCGGCGCUCGCCCCCGACCUGUCGGCCCUCGCCUCCCACCUCUGCUUCCUCCCCUCCCAACCUCGGCCGUCAUCGGGCAUGCCUCCUCGCCCUGCACCCUCUCUAAACCACCCCCUCUCUCUCUCUCUGCUAGCUAGGGUUAAUUUACUUAGGUUUUAGUUAUGUUAAUUAGGUUAUCUAUUUAGUUAUGAAUUUAGAUAGGUUUCAAAAUUUGCUGAAUUUAUAUGCAAAUUUGAACUAGACAUGUGAUAUGUGGAUAUGUCAUGUUUUGGUAAAUGAUCCGAGUUGCCUAUGUUACGCCGGAAUGUUGAUUCAUUUCCGUUCCGGUGAAUUUCCGGCGCUUGAUAUGUCCGUUUUUUAGCAAAGGUCAUGCCGAAAUUUCCCGUGAAUAAAGGCAUGAUUUGUGCUACAUAGUUGGCAUAUCGAGUGCUGGCACAUAGAUUUCUUUUUUAUCUCAUUUCUCAUUUAUUCAUACUUUUAGAAAUAAAUGAGGACACUUAAUCAUAGGAAACAUGUCGAAUAAUGAAGAAACUGGGCCUUCUGACCAAGAUGCAGACGAGAUGGAUUAUGAGGGUGAACAAGACUACCUCAACUUUUUGACUGCUAAGCAAGGUUUGCAGGUCCGCCUCGAUGAUGGUACUGACGCCGACACCGAGCCGGCACCGAUGGCGGCGCCAAGACCGGUGGGGAAGGUACCGCCGGGGAAGAUACCGGCGCCGAUGCCGGUACCGAAAAGAGGCAUAAGAAGCAGAGGAUACGAAAACCUAACAAACUAGGGAUUGGACGACUUGUGAUCACAAAGAUGGCACCUGGCAAGUUUGAGCCGUUAGAGCCGGAAGAACCUCACAAGUGCUAUGGGAACCAAGUAGGAUGCAUCCUACGGGAAUGAGCGAUCAUCAAUGACGAUGACUUAAGGAGUAAAGAACAUUUGACGCAGUUGCUCCUAAUGAAGUUGCAUAAGAGAUUCAAGUUCCCCGAUCGGGAUAAUAACAUAGAACAACCGUGGGAUGAUCCGAAGAUGAAAAAGAUUAACAAUCAUGCCAUGGGCAUGUUCAGCAAUGAUUUGGCCUCCUGGAAAUCGAGGGUGAAACGAGCUAUUGAGGCUGAUGAACCCCUGUCCAAGAUUCUGGAGGAAAAUCCGACACUUACGGAAGAGGAGUUCAAAAAGUUCAAGGACACUUGCGCUACCGAGGACGCCAAGGCUAAGGAUGCGAAAUUCAAGAGCCUUCAGCAAAGGAACACGGGGAAGCAUCGCCUCGAAAGCCAUGGCUACCUCGGUAAAAGGUCCAUAUGGGAUAAGGAGGAUGCGGAACGUGAAGCCGCAGGUCUCCUAGACCCCUUCGCAAAGUUCACCAACCCCUUGGAGCAUGACUUCAUCAGGGCCCGCUACAAGUGGGACAAGGAGAAAAAGGUUUUUUACACGGACAAGAUCACGAGGAAAUUGAUUAGACUACUGGAGAAGCAACACCAGCUUGCAGCCGAAAACCCUACUUCUCCGAUGAGGCCCAAGUGGGACACCCCUCUCAACCGGGCCUUGAACGAACUUAAGGGACUCCCUUUGGGCCAGCGGCCGCAAUAUGGUCGUGUGCACGGCGCUGGAGAUGGCGCCACGUGGAAGGUGUUUUACAACGAGGGCCCGGAGGCCAAGAAGCAGAAAAAGAAGUUUAGUCAGGCGGACAUCGACGCGAAGGUGAAUCUUGCGGUCGAGAAAAAAGCAGUUGAGGACGCGAAAAAAGCAGCCGAGGACAAAUAUGAGUUGCUAUAGCAGGCAGUCAAUGCAGCUGUAACUGCCUGCAGAAAUGAUUUUGCUACUAACUUGGUUCCAGUUAUCAUCAACUGGACGAAGGAAAAUCCAGACAAGACGGUACAUGAUUUCCCGUUGCCCAGUUUCGUCGGGAGCAACUCCAUGAACAACAACACCAUCACACCAUCACUUGCUCACGCAACUGGGCCUCCUCUCGCAGUCGCUCCCGCUCAUAGCAGCCCGUCCUCAGUCUCUGGCGCGCUUGGUGGGCCUUCGUCUUUGGUUGAGCUCGACGCCGUCACGGUAAUUACAUGUCACACCAACAUAUAUAUAUAUAUAUAUAUAAUAUUCCAUUUUUGUUGCCUUUCGGAUGUUUUACGCCACAGACAUAUGUGUUUGCAGGCGAAAGAAACCCCGUGCACCAUACUCUACUUGAUCAAAGGCCAGAAGGUGGACGUGGGAAAGGGGAUGAUAAUGGACCCCUUGCAACCCACGUUCCACAACCAGUCAAUCCCUGCUGGGCACUUCAGGGUUAGCUUGUCCAGUGUGAAAUCAGGGCACGAGGAUUUGCCUCCUCUAGUACAGCAUGUGGGAGUGGACGAUGAGACCUCGCCGCGGAUUGGAAGCUGCAAGGGUUGGGUGCUGCUAUGGCCGAAGAAUCUUAUUCGUCUGGAGCCGGCCGAGAGCACACCAAUAACCACACAUCAACAAGCAUGUGCGGAGACCACCACCCCACCUACGCAAUUACCAGCUCCUGUAGUGCCGGGUGGGAGCGGCGAACGACAUGAUGAAGGGGGUGCAAUAGUGCUGGCUGAUGUAAUUUGUCCUGUAGAAUAGAGAAUGGAUGAUGAGACGGAGGUCGACCCUAUGGAUUUCCUCAAUACAAACGCGUAUGAAUGUGACAUAGAAUUGAUGAGUCAACCAUAUGACGAAUCGGGCUAUCAGCUUGCUAAUGAGGAUAUGGAUGACAUGCCCGGGCAGGAAGGUCGUAGCAGGGAUUGCAAAAAGUCUCUCUUCAUGAAAUCCUCACAGGACACGCCUGAAGUUGUUGCCUCAACACAGGCUCAACUAUCCCAGUGCGAGGGUCGUACAGUACUUAGCCCGGGAACACUGGGGCAGGGGUUAAGGAAGGGUCUAGAAGGUGUGCCCAAGAAAAAGGAGAGAAAGAGAUCAGGGAAGAUAGCUGCCUCCAAACAAGCCAGAGCACAUAGCAGCAAAACGAUGCAUUCUAAAGAGCGUGUACCCGUGAAAGGUGCGGCCAUGUUCCAUCUCACGGGCGAGCCGAUGCUACCGCCGAAACCACUGGAGGCACUAUCAGGGGAUCUUAGGAGACUGCACGACCAUGUGCUGUCGACUGAGAAAAUCCUACUAGCCUCAAAGGAUCCAGGAUAUCCGACAUACGCGGCUCGUGUGCCUGAGGGGAAGUGCUACGUCGAGACACGGCCCGCGGAGGUGUUCUUCCUGUGGUUUGACCAUAUCUUUGAGAUGUUUCUGACAAGGCGGCUCGAUUUUACAAUCGUCCGCAUUUUUGCGCUACAUAUGAGCUCUGUCAUGAACAGUGAAGAAGUCACGCAAAUCUAUGUGGCGGAUCCGUACUACAUGCACGAGUCUUUCUUGAGUCUCGGCGACUUUGAGCGUGAAACUGCUAGGGACUACCUCCAAAACUUCAUGGUACAGAAUAAGGACUGGGAAAUUGUCCUCGUGCCUUAUCAUCCAAAGUAAGUCAGUUUCGAACAACCCUUUCAUACAUUUCAAUCAUUCCUUCUCUCUCUAUGGGGAAUAAUUUGAGGUGUCUUUUCUCCGCAGCAACGGGCGCGCCGUCCUUAUCGUUCUUUAUCCUCAAGUCUCCCACGCCAUGUAUUUUGACCCUUCCAGAGACUACGAGAAAAAAGACUACACCCACAUAAUGAAUAUUCUAGAUGAUGCUCUCCUAGGCUUCAGCUUUAGAGGUGGCCACAUGCAGAUCAGGAAACAAAGGAACAAGAAGAUGAGUUUCGCGCAUAAAACUAACUUCUCCUACAUCCAAGUCCCAAAACCAAGCAAGAAGGAUGGAUUGUACAUCCUCCAUCUCAUGAAUGAGUUCAACACGGAUCACCAAAAGCUUUGCAUGAGAAGCAGAAAUGAUGAUCAUAUCCACAAGUGGCUAGAAUCUCAUGGAGAAGCAGAUUAUAAACUUGGAGAUGAGUUCUUUCACAUCCAAAGCGACAUUGCGACGAUCAUCAUGAAAGAAGUCGUCGAUGAGAAGGGGAUGUUCCACCACGGCCCUAUAUCGCGAGCUGACGUUCGAACUCGCAUAGGCAUGCAACGUCUAGACCUCACGCCGUUCAAGAAGCUAGGGUCCAUCCUCGAUGAUAUGGAAGGAUGGAACUUCUAGUGAUUUAUGAUGCCGAUGAUGAUGAUAUGUGUCGGUUGAACUUGUAUACUAUUUGUAGUGAUGCAACUUUGUGAUGUCCAUGAUCCCUGCCGAACUUGUGUAAUGCUACUUUGUUAGUUUGCGUGCGAUGACCUGCGUACCUCUAGUUAAUUAAUUUGCGUACUGUAUGUUGCAUCUGGUUGCUAACCCUUUCUUUUUCGGUGUUCUCUAGUAUAUUUUGUUGCAUAUAUAUGAUUGUACAUCCUCUUCAUGAACAUGCAUCUCUAACAGGUACCUAGUUUCUUGAUGGCGAGAUGGAACUGCUAUGUCGUGUACAAAGGGAAGGUUCCAGGGGUGUACAACGAGUGGCAUGAGUGUCAGGCGCAAGUGAAUGGGUUCUCGGACGCCAGCCAUAAAGGCUUCAAAAGCAGACAAGAAGGAGAAGCUAGUUACUUGAGGUUCACGCUAGCGUGAGAGAGGACUCGUAACCGCCAUCUCAUGUACUGCAUAGUUCCGCUCUCACUCAUAGUGAUAGCUCUUCUCGCGUAUACCUUUGUUUAGAUGGAUGAUGUUGUAGUUGCAAGUAUUCGAGACUUGCAUGUAUCGCUAUUUUCGAGAUGAUGACAAGAUACCACUUUGUGUUGGAUGAUGAUUAUGACGAGACUAUUUGUAUGUAUAUGCUAUGAUUACAUUUGUGGUCUCGCGGGCAUUUGUAUGUGUAUCAUGAUGACAUUUGUAUGUGCUAAAGAUUCUUCUAUAAAGCAUGUUCUAGCAGUAGCGAGUGGAGAAAAGUUAGCAGCAGCGCGGUUGUAGCAGUACCGCGCACAGGGGAAGCGCGCUAUAGCUAUUAGCAGCAGCGAGGUUCCUUUAAGCGCGCUGCUGCAACACUUGUGUAGAAGUAGCGCGGGUGGACCAGCGCUACUGCUAUACGUUAGCUGUAGCGCCUUAUUGGUAGCGCGGGUACCCGCGCUGCUGAUAGGCCUAAAACCCGCGCUGCUACUAGCCUUUUCCCUAGUAGUGGAUCUUUACUUUAUCACAAUGCUUAUCGCCACAACUAUCAUCUCCCUCAUCGCCAUAGAUGUCAUCCUCAUCACCAUCAAUGUCAUGAUCAUUCUCACAGCUCAUAACACUUCUAAUAUUGCUUCACACUCCCUAAGAAAUGACAAGACUAGUUAUAAGAGAUAUGAAAAACAAUGCAAUGUACUUUAAAUUUAAUUGAGGUACAAGGAACAAAUUUCCUUUUAGGGAAGCUACAGAGAACAAAUUUUAAUUGUUCUAGAACCAUCUAUGCAUGGAGAUAUAUAGCUAAUCAUGUCUUACUGUUGGAACUAGGAACUCAGUGUACGUCGACAAUUACUAGUGUUACACUAGUAAUUCUUUCCUUACCAAAGCAUACAUCUGGGCAAUAGAAAUUAAAAUAUUAACAUGAACAGUAAUAAUAAAACUAGUUCACCAUUUUGCAUCUUCUAUCCAAAAGGCUAUAGACUAGUACUUUUUGACAUCUUAAUCCAUGUAUUUUUGUGUAUUCAUGGAAGACAAAAUCUAUUUACCCAUCGUAACAUUCAGUUAUUUGUGGUACUGUUUUCUAAUUGCUGUAUACCCUUACACAACUGCCGAUUAAUGGACAAGCCAAUAGAAUGGCAGAGGACAUCAUACUAGAUUUCUCGAAGAGAACGAAUGUGGCUGCCAUGAAUUUGGAGAGGCAAGAGAGAUCUGGGGCACAAGCUACCUUCAGGUUCCAAUGAUAUCUUUUUAACAGGCAAGGAAUUCAUCAAACACUUUACAAGGACCAACACAAAACUCGAUCCUACGUACGCAUAGUAACUGCAUACAGAACAAAAAGUUAGACUGACCCAUAAAGGAUGAAGCAGAAGGCAUAUGUGCUGAUGCUCAAUUCAGACACUUCAUUUCUGUACAGCUGAAGCACAGUGUGGUAUCCUAAAUUGCAGAAGAGUAUAAUAAGUUUGUCAGCGAAGCCUUAUCUAAAUGUUUCUCAUUUUAUUGUUGUUGAAGCUGGACUUGCUGAAGCCGUCGAUAAGGGCUUUGUGCUUCACCAAUUUCACCUUGUUCCGAGCGAUCUUGGACAGCCUCAUCUGUCUUAAUGCCCCUGUUUUCGUUAGGCCUCUAUUAUCAGCAAAGAUAUUUCUGGUACCUUACCAAAAUUCAAAUAGUCCAGUGUGGCACAAAGCCACAAACCAUGGCAAUGUUUUGCAUCAUCUAAAUAUGCACGUAUUUCCUCAUCUUACUUUGUUCCUGAAUAACUAGGUGUACAAAUUAAGCGAGUAUUUCCAGCAUAGUUGUGUGAAUCGUACCAAUUUUGACAUCUUAGCUAGCAAGGAUUUUACAUCAGAAAUCAAUCAGACUAUACUAGGUGCGGAUUGCAACCUUAACUUGCGAGUAGUACAAUAUUGUAACUGGGGAACGAGAACAGAGCCGAACCAAUUAGCCCGCGCUGCCGCUCGACCAUCAGUACGCUCGCCAGUGCCUGCCACCACCGCCAGCGUAUUGUUGCUGCAAAAAGAGAAGAAAGAAGAGACAAGGUGAGAGGAUAGAGGAAAUCCCGGGAAGGAAAAGGAGGCACUGACCUAGCAUCGUAGCCCACCGGUGUUGGCCGCCGCCACCAGAACUGUCGAGAGACGAGAUUCGGGUGCACUUGCACAUUACGGGAGGGUAGAAAGAGGUGAAAGGACCAAAACUCCGCCAGCCUCCCCGGCCAUAGCUGCUGUGAAGUGGAGAGGCGAUGGGAGGAGUUGAUCUGAAGCUAGGCGGUAGGGAGGUGAGGGAUGGUCUGUGGCGGCGAGGUGAGGAUAGGCGACAACGGCUACCAGGGGGAUGUUAGAUGAAAGUGAUCGUGAGUUCGUGCCGAGUGGGCUAAUUAGAAUUUUUCGUUUUGCGCUUGCGUGGGUUGAAAUUUUCAACGCGCGUGUAAAUAUGAGUUACAUUUUUCAGCUUCUUUUAUUUAUAUUCCUCUUAUGUUAUGGCCUUCCCUCAAAAAAAUAUUGCUCUAUACAUUAGAACACUGAUCAUAAUUAUAUUUCAUCAAUUUAAAUACAAUGUAUGAUAUUGAAAUAUACUUUGCAACAUUUUAAAGUCAAAUAAAAUUAAGAACGACCUUUUUAUAACCCGACAGAUCACAAGCACAUGUCAACCGCUUUGUUCACUUGAUACAUGCCCUAGGGGGGGGGGGGGCCCACACCGCUCUCCUCCACCCUAAUAGCUUAUUCCGAAUGGAUAAAGUCGUCUUGCUCGAGAGAAAUCAAUCUCAUCUCUAACCAGUCUCAAAACGCCCUCCUCCCCCAUCCCACGAGCUCCGCCAAGCAUCUGUUACUUUGGUGCGCACCACCGCCGCCGGUAUUGGUUCCACUCCUAGACCAAUAUGCUACCAAUUGCUCCUUUCGCUAAUGCAAACCCCUAAGACCAUUGCACGUAGAUGACACGGUCGUCACUACAAUCCUCAUCUACAGUAUCCUCGUUGCUUCAAGCCAGGGAGCCACGCACCACCAGCCAUCGCCAUUGCAGAAGGAGGGUGUCGCUGCUGUAGAACGGCUAGACGGCAUCGAAGAAGUUUUGUGCUUGAUACGGGGUCGGACUGACGUGCACCAUACUGUGUGUGGUAACUCUCGGGCAGUCACUCCUCGUCGGUUUUCUACGACAAUGCAGGCUUGCCCCACCGGACCGAGAUUCCUCAGCCAGCUCUUGGUUGCACGCUAUUGUUCUUGUUGCAUGGCGCUUGAAAGCUUGCCCUCAGCGUCAAAUCCCAAGACAAGACUAGAGGAGAAGAGGGAGGUGAGUCAAGUGAGGAGAGCUGAUACAACUAGGCGGUGAGAGGAUUAGGUCAACUCCAAAGCUAUGUAUACAUCAAAACGGACACAUCAAAUGUCCAUGGACAUGUUUGGACAUGUUUGCACACAACGCUAGGGGAGCUGGUCAUCCAACCAUAAUCAUCAAAUCUAGACAACAGGAGUGGGCCAUGCGUGGGCUAGGCGGACCUAAAGGAAAAUCACAUGGGCUAUGAGGACAUAUUGUCCAAUUGACAGUGAGACAAGCGGACUGUGUGGACUCUCCCAAAGCUCCCUCAGAUGCACCACAAGCCACAAAGAAAAACCCGCGUCAGCCGGUACCAGAACCACAUGCGUUGCAUCAGAUCUGUACCCCAUGCAUGGUAGUAGUACCAGCCGCCACUACCGACCACACGGGAACAUCGUCCUGGCUUCCUGCACACAACCCCCUAGCACUACUCCCCUGCGCCUCUGUGCCUCCAAUUGGAAUCUUCUUAUAUGGAAUUAUAUGGAAUAUAACAUGCGUCAUUCUACAUUUAUCGAUAUGGUGUCCAUCAAAACAUAUCAUUGAGAGGGUAAGUUAACCGUCGGUUAUUACUAUACACUCUCGGGUAUUUUCUCAAAUAACCGAGAGGCACACAUGUACCGUCGGCCAUUUUCACUCACAGGUGAGAGUUUUCUUUUCACCUUUGGCUAUUAAAUAUCACCGUCGGGCAUUAGAUCUAAUCCCCAUGGGUGUGGCAAAAACCGUCGGGCAUUACAUGUAAUCCCCGAGGGGGCACCAAAAACCGCAGGGUAUUACAAUUAACCGUCGGGCAUUACAUGUAAUCCCCGUGGGUGUAGGAAAAACCGUCGGGCUUUACAAUGAACCGUCGGGCAUUAAGUUGGAUACUCGAGGGGUGGAUGUUCACCGUCGGGCAUUCUAGUAUACCGUCGGGUAUUAGUGGUAAUACUUGUGAGUUGAUACUAAUCGUCAGCCAUUGCAACUACCGUCGGCUAUUACUAUAAUAACUGACGGCCCAUCGGCUAUUAGGUUUCACCGUCGGAAAUAUGGGGAUUUCUAGUAGUGUCUUAGAUUUGUUUAGAUAUGUUAAGAUAGAGAAGUAUCUAGACACGUUUCAGUGUUAUAUACGUCUCUUCAUAUAUCUAGAUAAAUCUAAGACAAGCCUUUUGGGACGGAGGUAAUACGUUAAUUCGUUAUCGGUCUCAUUUUGGUUUUGGGUCCAUUGAAUUUCAUGCGAGGUGUAGACUCAGGUGGCUCCUGACUAGGGUUUCCUCAGCCUCUCGGCAGCCGCCACUAGUCCGCCUCAUCUCCUAUGGUUCUAGGACAAUGGAGAAGCAGUCGAUGCUGACCCUUGUUGGCGAGAGGGCUCACUUUUUAGGUGUUUUUUUAUACAUCUCCAACAUAUCUACUUUUCCUAACGUUUUUCCUCUUGUUUUGGACUCUAAUUUGCAUGAUUUGAAUGAAACUAACCCAGGACUGACGUUGUUUUGAGCAGAACUACUAUGGUGUUGUUUUUGUGCAGAAAUAAAAGUUCUCGAAAUGGAACAAAACUUUGCGAUGUAUUUUUAUAUAAUAAAUAAGAAUUUCCGGAGGCAAGACCUACCGAAGAGGGGCCCCUUGGUGGGCACAACCCACCAGGGCGCGCCCAGGUGGGUCGUCCCCACCUGGUGGCCCCGCAGACCCUGAAACUGAUGCUAUAAAAUCCUAUUUUUCUAGAAAAAAUAGGGAGAAAGAAUUAUCGUGAUCCACGAGAUGGAUCCUCCGUCACCUCUUGUUCUUCAUCAGGAGGCCAGAUCUGGAAUCCUUUGGGACUCCGGAGAGGGUGAUCUUCAUUCUUCGUCAUCACCAAUCCUUCUCCAUCGCCAAUUCCAUGAUGCUCCCCACCAGGAGUGAGUAAUUCCUUCCUAGGCUGGCUGGUCGAUGAGGAGUUGGAUGAGAUUCAUCAUGUAAUCGAGUUAGUUUUGUUAGGGCUUGAUCCCUAGUAUCCACUAUGUUCUAAGAUUGAUGUUCCAAUGACUUUGCUAUGCUUAAUGCUUGUCACUUUGGGCCCGGGUGCCAUGAACUCAGAUAUGAACCGUUUAUAUUAUCACAAUUAUAUCCAUGUUUUAGAUUCGAUCUUGCAAGUUAUAGUCACCUACUACGUGUUAUGAUCCGGCAACCCCGGAGUGACAAUAGUCGGGACCACUCCCGGUGAUGACCGUAGUUUGAGGAGUUCAUGUAUUCACUAUGUGUUAAUGCUUUGUUCCAGUUCUCUAUUAAAAGGAGGUCAUAAUAUCCCUUAGUUUCCAAUAUGGACCCCGCUGCCGCGGGAUGGUAGGACAGAACAAGUCAUGCAAGUUCUUUCUAUAAGCAUGUAUGACUAUUUACGGAAUACAUGCCUACAUUAUAUUGAUGAACUGGAGCUAGUGCCCUAUCGCCCUAGGUUAUAACUGUCUCAUGAUGAAUAUCAUCCAACAAGUCACCAAUCCAAUGCCUACGAAUUUAUCAUAUAUUGAUCUUGCUAAGUUACUAUUGCUAUUAUCACUUCUACACUUGCUACAAAAUUACUGCUAUCAUUGUUACUGUUACCAUUGCUGCUGUCACUACUACUCAAAACUAUCAUAUUACUUUGCCAUUGAUUGCUUGCUGCAAAUAAUUAAUCUCCACAUGUGGUUGAAUUGACAACUCAGCUGCUAAUACCUUCAAAUAUUCUUUGGCUCCCCUUGUGUCGAAUCUAUAAAUUUGGGUUGAAUACUCUACCCUCGAAAAGUGUUGCGAUCCCCUAUCCUUGUGGAUUAUCAUUUCUCAAUCGCACUAGGGUUUGUGCUACGCUCAGGAAGAUGAGACGGCGGCGACUUCCUGGAGAUGGAAUAAGAUUCUCCUCGUUUAUCCCCCAACUAGUAGAAAACAGGGCACCAGUCUCGGUUCUGCAACCGGGACUAAACAAUCGGGUCUAAAGGCCCCCACUUUUAGUCCCGGUUGGAUUACGAACCGAGACUAAAGGUGCUCCACGUGGCCAUUGUUGGACGCCCAGGUAGGAGGACCUUUAGUCUCGGUUGGUAACACCAACUGGGACUAAAAUGCAACCACACGUCAGCAGCUGCCGAGCGCUGGUUUUUUUUGAAAGGAGGGGUUUAGGGGUUUCAUAUUAUGUUUCCCCCUUUUCUUUUUGUGUUUACCAUUCAAUUAUUUUACAUUUAGGGUUUUCAUUUUUAUUUUAUAAUUUUCAUUCAACUCGACGCUAGCUACUACAUAUGGCAAUGAAAGAACCAUUAAUUAGACAAUAUUGUCAUGGACAUGUAUAGAGAGAAGUGACCUCUCUUUCUCCGUGCUUGGUCGAACAACAAGUUUUCGUAUAACAUCUCCUACAAUCCCUAACAUCAUCUACCAAAAUCGCAUUGCAACUCCCCAUGGUAUUCUCCGUCUUCAGGUAUGACAUCUCUUACAAUCCCUACCAUCAUC
RNAcentral lists this long non-coding RNA (18881 nucleotides) under Triticum aestivum (bread wheat). RNAcentral's name for it is "long non-coding RNA (TAES_LNC006083)". The record is from RNAcentral. Lineage: Eukaryota; Viridiplantae; Streptophyta; Magnoliopsida; Poales; Poaceae.